UACGGAGGGGGCGAGCGUUGUCCGAAGUUACUGGGCGUAAAGGGCGCGUAGGCGGGAGCCUAAGUCCGCUGUGAAAGCCCGAGGCUUAACCUCGGCGGGUCGGUGGAUACUGGGCUUCUUGAAGGUGCUAGGGGGAGAUGGAAUUACCGGUGUAGCGGUGAAAUGCGUAGAGAUCGGUAGGAACACCUGUGGCGAAGGCGGUCUCCUGGAGCAUUCUUGACGCUGAGGCGCGAAAGCUGGGGGAGCGAACGGG
This 253-nucleotide ribosomal RNA is filed under the name uncultured prokaryote. RNAcentral describes it as "partial 16S ribosomal RNA". It matches the Rfam family "Bacterial small subunit ribosomal RNA", at positions 524 to 776 of the family's 1533-position model. The record is from RNAcentral.